Molecule: ribosomal RNA, 541 nt
Filed under: Streptomyces sp. SCAU5204
Lineage: Bacteria; Bacillati; Actinomycetota; Actinomycetes; Kitasatosporales; Streptomycetaceae
Description: bacterial SSU rRNA
Rfam family: Bacterial small subunit ribosomal RNA
Source: RNAcentral
GAGUAACACGUGGGCAAUCUGCCCUUCACUCUGGGACAAGCCCUGGAAACGGGGUCUAAUACCGGAUAACACUCUGUCCCGCAUGGGACGGGGUUAAAAGCUCCGGCGGUGAAGGAUGAGCCCGCGGCCUAUCAGCUUGUUGGUGGGGUAAUGGCCUACCAAGGCGACGACGGGUAGCCGGCCUGAGAGGGCGACCGGCCACACUGGGACUGAGACACGGCCCAGACUCCUACGGGAGGCAGCAGUGGGGAAUAUUGCACAAUGGGCGAAAGCCUGAUGCAGCGACGCCGCGUGAGGGAUGACGGCCUUCGGGUUGUAAACCUCUUUCAGCAGGGAAGAAGCGAAAGUGACGGUACCUGCAGAAGAAGCGCCGGCUAACUACGUGCCAGCAGCCGCGGUAAUACGUAGGGCGCAAGCGUUGUCCGGAAUUAUUGGGCGUAAAGAGCUCGUAGGCGGCUUGUCACGUCGGAUGUGAAAGCCCGGGGCUUAACCCCGGGUCUGCAUUCGAUACGGGCUAGCUAGAGUGUGGUAGGGGAGAUCG